RNAcentral lists this ribosomal RNA (352 nucleotides) under Cyclommatus metallifer. RNAcentral's name for it is "SSU rRNA". It matches the Rfam family "Eukaryotic small subunit ribosomal RNA", at positions 1172 to 1489 of the family's 1831-position model. Lineage: Eukaryota; Metazoa; Arthropoda; Insecta; Coleoptera; Lucanidae. The record is from RNAcentral.
AGGAGUGGAGCCUGCGGCUUAAUUUGACUCAACACGGGAAACCUCACCAGGCCCGGACACCGGAAGGAUUGACAGAUUGAGAGCUCUUUCUUGAUUCGGUGGGUGGUGGUGCAUGGCCGUUCUUAGUUGGUGGAGCGAUUUGUCUGGUUAAUUCCGAUAACGAACGAGACUCUAGCCUGUUAACUAGGCGCACUUCCGACAUCUCAAAUACCCGCCGGUCCGGCGCGCGCCGUGACCGCGCGCGGUUUUUACUGUCGGCGUACAAAUUAUUCUUCUUAGAGGGACAGGCGGCUUCUAGCCGCACUAGAUUGAGCAAUAACAGGUCUGUGAUGCCCUUAGAUGUUCUGGGCCG